RNAcentral lists this small nucleolar RNA (136 nucleotides) under Peromyscus maniculatus bairdii (prairie deer mouse). RNAcentral's name for it is "Small nucleolar RNA SNORA73 family (ENSPEMG00000004260.2)". Lineage: Eukaryota; Metazoa; Chordata; Mammalia; Rodentia; Cricetidae. The record is from RNAcentral.
CCAGAGUGGUUAUAACAGGAGGUAGUUCUUCCAUGAUAUGUCCUAGUGACAGAGAGAAGCACAGGGCUUUACCCUAUCAGGAGCCAUCCCUGUCCACAGUGUUGGAGAGGAAGCUAGGCCCAGAGUUUAUACAUUU